RNAcentral lists this ribosomal RNA (463 nucleotides) under uncultured bacterium. Its description in RNAcentral is "partial 16S ribosomal RNA". It matches the Rfam family "Bacterial small subunit ribosomal RNA", at positions 28 to 507 of the family's 1533-position model. The record is from RNAcentral.
GACGAACGCUGGCGGCGUGCUUAACACAUGCAGGUCGAACGGAAAGGCCUUUUCGGAGGUACUCGAGUGGCGAACGGGUGAGUAACACGUGGGUGAUCUGCCCUGCACUCUGGGAUAAGCCUGGGAAACUGGGUCUAAUACCGGAUAGGGCCGCACUUUAGUGUGUGUGGUGGAAAGUUUUUUCGGUGUAGGAUGAGCCCGCGGCCUAUCAGCUUGUUGGUGGGGUAAUGGCCUACCAAGGCGGCGACGGGUAGCCGGACUGAGAGGUUGGUCGGCCACAUUGGGACUGAGAUACGGCCCAGACUCCUACGGGAGGCAGCAGUGGGGAAUAUUGCACAAUGGGCGCAAGCCUGAUGCAGCGACGCCGCGUGGGGGAUGACGGCCUUCGGGUUGUAAACUCCUUUCGCCAGGGACGAAGCGUUUUGUGACGGUACCUGGAGAAGAAGCACCGGCUAACUACGUG